UAAUUUUUAAUCUUGUCAAAUCUAGUUCUAAAACCUCAGUGAUUCUAAAAUCAUACUAAGUAGUUUGAUUUCUGACUAACAUAUUCAAUUCAACCUAAACCAUCUAUCCGUUCCGCUGACAAUUUGGAGAAGGAUAUAAAUAAGGAGUCUGUUGGGACAAAGAGACGUGGACAAAAUGGAUGAACGGCCGAGGGAUCCCAAUCCUUUAAGUGAUCGAUCAGUUAGCUGCCGAGUUUGUAGUGGGUGAAGAUGACACGCAACACUAACUCGAAGAAAACACAAAAUACGUACAUAAACACACGAAGAGCGUGUUUUUUUAUGUUUUUAGAGACGCUAUAGGUAUAAAUGGAGGAAAUGUAUAGACGGUUCGUAUUUUAGAGGUCACGCGUUAAUUUAGGUUGAUUUUUGGAAAUAUUAAAGGUUAUAUAUAGUUUGUACGAGAACUUACAUUUAAACUUUAGUCUGUUCCACGCCCUUAAAGUUUAUUAAGAUUUGUGCCCUGUUAAUGGCAAAAGCUCCCCCUAUUAACGAGACCGAAACAGUUGGCGAAGAGUGGGGAUGGAUCUUCGGCUAAAGAGUACACUUCUCCGGGCCUGUUUAUCAAA
This is a long non-coding RNA of Pectinophora gossypiella (pink bollworm), 605 nucleotides long. RefSeq lists it as uncharacterized. Lineage: Eukaryota; Metazoa; Arthropoda; Insecta; Lepidoptera; Gelechiidae. The record is from RefSeq and is a predicted model, not a curated record. The transcript is spliced from 3 exons.